AUUGAACGCUGGCGGCAGGCCUAACACAUGCAAGUCGAACGAGUGGCGAACGGGUGAGUAACGUAUGGGAAACUGCCUGAUGGAGGGGGAUAACUACUGGAAACGGUAGCUAAUACCGCAUACCAUCAGAUGUGCCAAGAUGGGAUUAGCUGGUUGGUGGGGUAACGGACCACCAAGGCGACGAUCCCUAGCUGUUCUGAGAGGAUGACCAGCCACACUGGAACUGAUACACGGUCCAGACGCCUACGGGAGGCAGCAGUGGGGAAUUUUGGCCAAUGGGCGCAAGCCUGAUCCAGCCAUGCCGCGUGUUUGAAGAAGGCCUUCGGGUUGUAAAGUACUUUCAGCAGGGAAGCGUUACCCGAAGAAUAAGCACCGGCUAACUCCGUGCCAGCAGCCGCGGUAAUUC
Molecule: ribosomal RNA, 406 nt
Filed under: uncultured bacterium
Lineage: Bacteria
Description: partial 16S ribosomal RNA
Rfam family: Bacterial small subunit ribosomal RNA
Source: RNAcentral